Molecule: ribosomal RNA, 435 nt
Filed under: uncultured Sphingobacteriales bacterium
Lineage: Bacteria; Pseudomonadati; Bacteroidota; Sphingobacteriia; Sphingobacteriales
Description: bacterial SSU rRNA
Rfam family: Bacterial small subunit ribosomal RNA
Source: RNAcentral
AAUUCGAUGAUACGCGAGGAACCUUACCUGGCUUAAUGUAGAGUGCAUUUUUUAGUAGAUAGAAAUUCCCUUCGGGGCUUUCUUGCAAGGUGCUGCAUGGUUGUCGUCAGCUCGUGCCGUGAGGUGUCGGGUUAAGUCCCAUAACGAGCGCAACCCUUAUCGUUAGUUGCCAUCUGGUAAUGCAGGGGACUCUAGCGAAACUGCCACCGUAAGGUGAGAGGAAGGUGGGGAUGACGUCAAAUCAGCACGGCCCUUAUGUCCAGGGCUACACACGUGUUACAAUGGUCGGUACAGAGGGCAGCUACCUGGUGACAGGAUGCUAAUCUCGAAAAACCGGUCUCAGUUCGGAUCGAAGUCUGCAACUCGACUUCGUGAAGCUGGAUUCGCUAGUAAUCGCGCAUCAGCUAUGGCGCGGUGAAUACGUUCCCGGGCCUU